GGUUGAAAUGAUAUGAAGAACUUGUUCAGAUUUGAUUUUCAACAUUGCAAUGAGUGGCGAACGGGUGAGUAACACGUGGGAAACCUACCUCUUAGCAGGGGAUAACAUUUGGAAACAAAUGCUAAUACCGUAAUAAUUAAUUUAAAACCCGCAUUGGGUUUUAGUUUAAAAGAUGGUCUUGCUAUCACUAAGAGAUGGUCCCGCGGUGUAUUAGUUAGUUGGUGAGGUAAUGGCUCACCAAGACAAUGAUACAUAGCCGAGUUGAGAGACUGACCGGCCACAAUGGGACUGAGACACGGCCCAUACUCCUACGGGAGGCAGCAGUAGGGAAUCUUCCACAAUGGACGAAAGUCUGAUGGAGCAACGCCGCGUGUGUGAUGAAGGGUUUCGGCUCGUAAAACACUGUUGUAAGAGAAGAAUGACAUUGAGAGUAACUGUUCAAUGUGUGACGGUAUCUUACCAGAAAGGAACGGCUAAAUACGUG
RNAcentral lists this ribosomal RNA (484 nucleotides) under uncultured bacterium. Its description in RNAcentral is "bacterial SSU rRNA". It matches the Rfam family "Bacterial small subunit ribosomal RNA", at positions 45 to 507 of the family's 1533-position model. The record is from RNAcentral.